RNAcentral lists this unclassified non-coding RNA (1898 nucleotides) under Actinia tenebrosa (Australian red waratah sea anemone). RNAcentral's name for it is "serine/threonine-protein kinase rio2-like, transcript variant X1". The record is from RNAcentral. Lineage: Eukaryota; Metazoa; Cnidaria; Anthozoa; Actiniaria; Actiniidae.
AAAUAGAAUAUCGAUGGUUAUGCUUGGGAUGCCUGUGGUAAGUUAAAUCAGUACUGUUGACCAGCGGAGAUGUCCAUGGGGAGGUGAAAUAAGAUUCGAAUGUGGAUCAAGAUAUUCCUUCAAAAAUGGUUAAACUAAACGUGUCGAUGUUGAGGUAUCUUUCCAGAGAUCACUUUAGGGUUUUAACAGCAGUUGAGAUGGGUAUGAAGAACCAUGAGCUAGUCCCUGCUUCACUUGUUGCAUCUAUAGCUGCCCUCAAGCAUGGUGGCUGUUACAAAAUCCUCAGAGAACUUGUGAAGCACAAACUGAUAGCUUAUGACAAUGGAAAAGCUGUUGGAUACAAAUUGACCUAUGGUGGGUAUGAUUACCUUGCUCUAAAGGCGCUGUCCGCUCAUGAUAUUAUACAUUCAGUUGGAAAUCAAAUUGGCAUGGGAAAAGAGUCAGAUAUUUAUAUUGUCGCAAAUGAAGAAGGACAGCAAUUUGCUCUCAAGCUGCACAGGUUAGGAAGAACAUCAUUUAGAAAACUCAAAGAAAAAAGAGACUACCUGAAGAAACGACAAAAUUCCUCUUGGUUAUACCUUUCUCGUCUGGCAGCCAUGAAAGAGUAUGCUUACUUAAAGGUGCUGCAUGAUAAUCAGUACCCCGUGCCAAAACCAGUUGAUUACAACAGACAUGCUGUGGUGAUGCAACUUGUUGAUGGCUACCCUUUAUGUCAAGUUCGUGAGUUAGAAAACCCUGGUGCAGUAUUCAGUGAUAUGAUGGAUCUGAUUGUCCGUCUUGCUGGCUUUGGCUUAAUUCAUUGUGAUUUUAAUGAAUUCAAUUUAAUAUUAAAUGGCAAAGAUCAGGUGACCGUUAUUGAUUUCCCACAGAUGGUUUCAACAUCACAUCUCAAUGCUCAAUGGUACUUUGACCGAGACGUUCAGUGCAUACGAGACUUUUUCUUGCGGCGAUUUAAUUUUGAGGGUGAAGCCUACCCAAAGUUUUCAGAUAUAGUGCGUUCCCAAAAUCUAGAUGUUGAAAUAGCAGCCAGUGGUUUUACGAAGGAAAUGGACAAGACAUUUGAAGAGGAAGCUGCAGCAGCACUUGGAACAAUGCGCAAAGAACAAGAACAUCUGGAAGAAAGCCCAAUGGAAGAAGUUGUUGAUGAUGAUGAUGUUGAUGAUGAUGAUGAUUUAGAAUUGAAACCAGAAUCAGAAACCAGUUGUAGGGAUCAUUUAUCACCUUGUGAAGAUGAGAAAAAGACUAGUGGAACAACAGAAGAAAGAGUAGCAACUACAACACCUAACACGACCACACUAGAAGCAACAACACAAGCAACAGAAGAUGGCAAUCAAGAUCAAAGCGACGAAUCUGACCUUGAGGACUUGAGUAACAUUAACCGAACUCAUAGACCAUACCGUGAUGUCAAUGAUGAUGUAAUGGAUCAUGAUGGCACUGAUGAUGUCACAACAGAGACACCUGUACUGUCUACUAUUGACUCUGUUGAAGUGAGAAAAAGAGUUAAAAAGAGUCUGAUGAAGAAACAGCAAAUGGCUAGACGAAGGAAAAAAGGGGAGGAAGGAGCUAUGACAAGAAGUAGAAGAGAGAAAAGAGAUGAUGUGAAGCAAAGUGUGCAUGCAUAUAACAGUGGAUGGUAGUGGUAUGUUACCUGCAUGACACGGAGGGAGGAAGGAGCUAUGACAAGAAGUAGAAGAGAGAAAAGAGAUGAUGUGAAGCAAAGUGUACAUGCAUAUAACAGUGAAUGGGAAAUGCUUAAGACAAAAGGGCUUACCCUCUCAACCAAUAAUCGUGCACCCUUAAGUCAGAGCAAACCUGAAGUCUUGGCAGAAUUAAGGAGAGAGAAAAAGAGAUUUAAGGAUUGUAUCAUACAAUAUGAAUAUAAAAAUCUUUUAUAUAUC